This 1056-nucleotide ribosomal RNA is filed under the name uncultured bacterium. RNAcentral describes it as "bacterial SSU rRNA". It matches the Rfam family "Bacterial small subunit ribosomal RNA", at positions 69 to 1113 of the family's 1533-position model. The record is from RNAcentral.
ACAGGCGGUAGCAAUACUGCGCUGACGAGUGGCGCACGGGUGCGUAACACGUAUGCAACUUACCCUUUACCGGGGCAUAACCUGUUGAAAGACGGGCUAAUUCCCCAUAGUAUUAUUUUGAGGCAUCUUAAAAUAAUUAAAGAUUUAUUGGUAAAGGAUGGGCAUGCGCCCCAUUAGUUAGUUGGUGAGGUAACGGCUCACCUAGACCGUGAUGGGUAGGGGUUCUGAGAGGAUUAUCCCCCACACUGGUACUGAGACACGGACCAGACUCCUACGGGAGGCAGCAGUAAGGAAUAUUGGGCAAUGGCCGAGAGGCUGACCCAGCCAUGCCGCGUGCAGGAAGACGGCCUUAUGGGUUGUAAACUGCUUUUCUAUGGGAAUAACCACUUCUACGCGUAGAGGUCUGCAUGUACCAUAGGAAUAAGCAUCGGCUAACUCCGUGCCAGCAGCCGCGGUAAUACGGAGGAUGCAAGCGUUAUCCGGAAUUAUUGGGUUUAAAGGGUGCGUAGGCGGACUGGUAAGUCAGUGGUGAAAUUCUCGGGCUUAACCUGGGACCUGCCAUUGAUACUGCUGGUCUUGAGUGUAGUUGAUGUUGGCGGAAUGUGUCAUGUAGCGGUGAAAUGCAUAGAUAUGACACAGAACACCGAUAGCGAAGGCAGCUGACAAAACUAUAACUGACGCUGAGGCACGAAAGCGUGGGGAUCAAACAGGAUUAGAUACCCUGGUAGUCCACGCCGUAAACGAUGAUCACUAGCUGUAUGCGAUACACUGUAUGUGGCUAAGGGAAACCGAUAAGUGAUCCACCUGGGGGAGUACGUCCGCAAGGAUGAAACUCAAAGGAAUUGACGGGGGCCCGCACAAGCGGAGGAGCAUGUGGUUUAAUUCGAUGAUACGCGAGGAACCUUACCUGGGCUUGAACGUAUGGUGCAUGGGGUGUGAAAGCAUCCUUUUUCAGCAAUGAACUUCAUACGAAGGUGCUGCAUGGGUUGUCGUCAGCUCGUGGCCGUGAGGGGGUUAAGGUUAAGUCCUUGCAACGAAGCGCAACCCCCUGGUUUU